UACGGAGGGUGCAAACGUUGCUCGGAAUUAUUGGGCGUAAAGCGCACGUAGGCGGUCCCUUAAGUCGGGUGUGAAAGCCCUCGGCUUAACCGAGGAAGUGCAUUCGAAACUGGGGGACUUGAAUACUGGAGAGGAUGGCGGAAUUCCCGGUGUAGAGGUGAAAUUCGUAGAUAUCGGGAGGAACACCAGCGGCGAAGGCGGCCAUCUGGACAGAUAUUGACGCUGAGGUGCGAAAGCGUGGGGAGCAAACAGG
This 253-nucleotide ribosomal RNA is filed under the name uncultured bacterium. RNAcentral's name for it is "partial 16S ribosomal RNA". It matches the Rfam family "Bacterial small subunit ribosomal RNA", at positions 524 to 776 of the family's 1533-position model. The record is from RNAcentral.